AACGUAGGACGCAAGCGUUAUCCGGAGUUACUGGGCGUAAAGCGCGGGCAGGCGGCCUCGCAAGUCUGAUGUGAAAGCACUCUGCUCAACAGAGUGAUGCCAUUGGAAACUACGGGGCUGGAGUCUGGCAGAGGUAGGCGGAAUUCCGGGUGGAGUGGUGAAAUGCGUAGAGAUGCGGAGGAACACCGAUGGCGAAGGCAGCCCCCUGGGCUAGCACUGACGCUCAGGCACGAAAGCGUGGGGAGCAAACAGG
RNAcentral lists this ribosomal RNA (253 nucleotides) under uncultured bacterium. RNAcentral describes it as "partial 16S ribosomal RNA". It matches the Rfam family "Bacterial small subunit ribosomal RNA", at positions 524 to 776 of the family's 1533-position model. The record is from RNAcentral.